CCUUACCUGGUCUUGACAUCCACGGAAUUUGGCAGAGAUGCCUUAGUGCCUUCGGGAACCGUGAGACAGGUGCUGCAUGGCUGUCGUCAGCUCGUGUUGUGAAAUGUUGGGUUAAGUCCCGCAACGAGCGCAACCCUUAUCCUUUGUUGCCAGCGGUCCGGCCGGGAACUCAAAGGAGACUGCCAGUGAUAAACUGGAGGAAGGUGGGGAUGACGUCAAGUCAUCAUGGCCCUUACGACCAGGGCUACACACGUGCUACAAUGGCAUAUACAAAGAGAAGCGACCUCGCGAGAGCAAGCGGACCUCAUAAAGUCUCUCUAUCCGGAUUGGAGUCUGCAACUCGACUCCAUGAAGUCGGAAUCGCUAGUAAUCGUGGAUCAGA
Molecule: ribosomal RNA, 382 nt
Filed under: Citrobacter sp. FER26
Lineage: Bacteria; Pseudomonadati; Pseudomonadota; Gammaproteobacteria; Enterobacterales; Enterobacteriaceae
Description: bacterial SSU rRNA
Rfam family: Bacterial small subunit ribosomal RNA
Source: RNAcentral